UACGAAGGGUGCAAGCGUUACUCGGAAUUACUGGGCGUAAAGCGUGCGUAGGUGGUUGUUAAGUCUGUUGUGAAAGCCCCGGGCUCAACCUGGGAAUGGCAAUGGAUACUGGCAGGCUAGAGUGCGGUAGAGGGUAGUGGAAUUCCCGGUGUAGCGGUGAAAUGCGUAGAGAUCGGGAAGAACACCCGUGGCGAAGGCGGCUCUCUGGGACGGUACUGACGCUGAGACGCGAAAGCGUGGGGAGCGAACAGG
This 252-nucleotide ribosomal RNA is filed under the name uncultured bacterium. RNAcentral's name for it is "partial 16S ribosomal RNA". It matches the Rfam family "Bacterial small subunit ribosomal RNA", at positions 524 to 776 of the family's 1533-position model. The record is from RNAcentral.